This 253-nucleotide ribosomal RNA is filed under the name uncultured bacterium. RNAcentral describes it as "partial 16S ribosomal RNA". It matches the Rfam family "Bacterial small subunit ribosomal RNA", at positions 524 to 776 of the family's 1533-position model. The record is from RNAcentral.
UACGUAGGGUGCGAGCGUUGUCCGGAAUCACUGGGCGUAAAGGGCGCGUAGGCGGCUUUUCAAGCGUGCGGUGAAAGCUCGGGGCUUAACUCCGAGUCUGCCGUGCGAACUGGGAGGCUUGAGUCUGGUAGAGGUCGAUGGAAUUCCGGGUGUAGCGGUGGAAUGCGUAGAGAUCCGGAAGAACACCAGCGGCGAAGGCGGCAUCCUGGCCCUGUACUGACGCUGAGGCGCGAUAGCGUGGGGAGCAAACGGG